AUUGAACGCUGGCGGCAUGCCUUACACAUGCAAGUCGAGCGGCAGCGCGGGGGCGAACCCUGGCGGCGAGCGGCGGACGGGUGAGUAAUACAUCGGAACGUGUCCUUUCGUGGGGAUAACCAGUCGAAAGACUGGCUAAUACCGCAUGAGAUCUGACGAUGAAAGCGAGGGACCCGCAAGGGCCUCGCGCGAUUGGAGCGGCCGAUGUCGGAUUAGCUAGNGGCGGGGUAAAGCCCACCAAGGCGACGAUCCGUAGCUGGUUUGAGAGAACGACCAGCCACACUGGGA
This 288-nucleotide ribosomal RNA is filed under the name uncultured bacterium. RNAcentral describes it as "partial 16S ribosomal RNA". It matches the Rfam family "Bacterial small subunit ribosomal RNA", at positions 29 to 318 of the family's 1533-position model. The record is from RNAcentral.